UACGAGGGGGGCGAGCGUUGUUCGGAAUUACUGGGCGUAAAGCGUGCGCAGGCGGUCUUCCAAGUCAGUGGUGAAAGCCCGGAGCUCAACUCCGGAACUGCCAUUGAAACUGUAAGACUUGAGGAUGAGAGAGGUGAGUGGAAUUCCCAGUGUAGAGGUGAAAUUCGUAGAUAUUGGGAAGAACACCGGUGGCGAAGGCGGCUCACUGGCUCAUUACUGACGCUCAGGCGCGACAGCGUGGGGAUCAAACAGG
This 253-nucleotide ribosomal RNA is filed under the name uncultured bacterium. Its description in RNAcentral is "partial 16S ribosomal RNA". It matches the Rfam family "Bacterial small subunit ribosomal RNA", at positions 524 to 776 of the family's 1533-position model. The record is from RNAcentral.